RNAcentral lists this long non-coding RNA (218 nucleotides) under Lathyrus oleraceus (garden pea). Its description in RNAcentral is "Pisum sativum (pea) long non-coding RNA (PSAT_LNC004714)". The record is from RNAcentral. Lineage: Eukaryota; Viridiplantae; Streptophyta; Magnoliopsida; Fabales; Fabaceae.
UGAUACCCCAGGACAACAGAAGUUUACUGUGUUAAACUUUGUUAAAACAGGUUCUCAUUCAUGACAAAUUGAAGUUUUCCUCUACUGCAGCUGUGUGAUGAAGUGUGUAUUUAGCUACUGCUUGUAUGCUGUUGUGUGUGAAGUUUUUAUUUAACUUCCUCCCCUGCAGCUGCUGUGUGUUGAACUUUAGAUUUAACUUCUGUAUGUGUGUGCUGCUG